This 492-nucleotide ribosomal RNA is filed under the name uncultured bacterium. Its description in RNAcentral is "partial 16S ribosomal RNA". It matches the Rfam family "Bacterial small subunit ribosomal RNA", at positions 29 to 507 of the family's 1533-position model. The record is from RNAcentral.
AGUGAACGCUGGCGGUAGGCCUAACACAUGCAAGUCGAACGGCAGCACAGUAAGAGCUUGCUCUUACGGGUGGCGAGUGGCGGACGGGUGAGGAAUAUAUCGGAAUCUACUUUUUCGUGGGGGAUAACGUAGGGAAACUUACGCUAAUACCGCAUACGACCUACGGGUGAAAGCAGGGGAUCUUCGGACCUUGCGCGAUUGAAUGAGCCGAUGUCGGAUUAGCUAGUUGGCGGGGUAAAGGCCCACCAAGGCGACGAUCCGUAGCUGGUCUGAGAGGAUGAUCAGCCACACUGGAACUUGGACACGGUCCAGACUCCUGCGAGAGGCAGCAGUGGGGAAUAUUAGACAAUGGGCGCAAGCCUGAUCCAGCCAUACCGCGUGGGUGAAGAAGGCCUUCGGGUUGUAAAGCCCUUUUGUUGGGAAAGAAAAGCAGCAGGUUAAUACCCCGCGGUUCUGACGGUACCCAAAGAAUAAGCACCGGCUAACUUCGUG